UGUUAAAAUUUUUAUCAAUUUGUACUGUUAAAAAUUGACGUCACUGAUAGAAUAACCAGAUAGUGAAGGGAAUAGUUUUUAGUAGUAAAUAUGGAUGAAACUUUUAACA
This is a non-coding RNA of Gossypium raimondii (Peruvian cotton), 109 nucleotides long. Lineage: Eukaryota; Viridiplantae; Streptophyta; Magnoliopsida; Malvales; Malvaceae. The record is from Rfam.